GAUGAACGCUGGCGGCGUGCCUAAUACAUGCAAGUCGAGCGAACGGACGAGAAGCUUGCUUCUCUGAUGUUAGCGGCGGACGGGUGAGUAACACGUGGAUAACCUACCUAUAAGACUGGGAUAACUUCGGGAAACCGUAGCUAAUACCGGAUAAUAUUUUGAACCGCAUGGUUCAAAAGUGAAAGACGGUCUUGCUGUCACUUAUAGAUGGAUCCGCGCUGCAUUAGCUAGUUGGUAAGGUAACGGCUUACCAAGGCAACGAUGCAUAGCCGACCUGAGAGGGUGAUCGGCCACACUGGAACUGAGACACGGUCCAGACUCCUACGGGAGGCAGCAGUAGGGAAUCUUCCGCAAUGGGCGAAAGCCUGACGGAGCAACGCCGCGUGAGUGAUGAAGGUCUUCGGAUCGUAAAACUCUGUUAUUAGGGAGGAACAUAUGUGUAAGUAACUGUGCACAUCUUGACGGUACCUAAUCAGAAAGCCACGGCUAACUACGUG
Molecule: ribosomal RNA, 497 nt
Filed under: uncultured bacterium
Lineage: Bacteria
Description: partial 16S ribosomal RNA
Rfam family: Bacterial small subunit ribosomal RNA
Source: RNAcentral